UGUUGUUGAAAUUGCUUAACAACCUUAUCAUCCACAUUCUUUCAAUUUCUCCUUAGCUUUGGGAAACCCAACACCUACCACAGUUGACCACAGUGCUGGUCCAGAGAAGUUCCUCAUCCCUUUGAGCUUGUUGAUCCUUCUUGCGAUAGCAACUUUGAUCACCUGGUUCCUGUUAAAAAGACAUAAGAACACCACAGCAGAAUCUUCAGCAACAACGACUGCAGAGGAAGUAACAUACAGCACUGUAGCCAUGAGGAAUAAACCCUCAAGCCAGGUAAGGGACUGUGUGAAAAUGACUGGCCUAAACCUUUUUGUUACAUUAUUAACAGAUCCUUUAAAGAUAUAUUAAAAUUGUAUUUUGACCUCUGAUUUUGACCUGUUAUACUAGAUUUCUAGUGUGCAGUUCCAAACAUUUGAAACGACAGUCAACUCCUAUGAUAAUGGAUAUUCUUCUUUUAUUUUGGUUGCCUCAAAAUAUCCUCUAUUUAAGUAACAUCUGGUUUAUUCCUUCGUCAGGCUCAAGAGGAAAUAACAAACAGUUAUUUCAAGCAUGGGUCAGAUCCAGGGGGGGAUGUGAUAUACAGCUCUGUGGUAAUAUUGAACCAAACAAAAGUCACAUUUAAAGAAGUUUUCUUACAUUAUUAGGGGUAUUAACAAUGUUAGCCGAUGUCGCAAAAACCUGACAUGGUUUUCUUUUUUUUUCUUUUAACAGGUUGAAGGAAAAGUUUUGCAGGCAAAGGGGCUUUGAGAGAAAUGCUGAUGGAGUGUCCCUUUAAGGAUUUUUUUUUAUUUUUAUAGUUAUACACUUAUUCAGUUUUCCUAUUUUUCAAGAACAUUUUCAAGAAUCACACAUUUUUGAGCCCAAAAAACAAUGUACCCAACUUCAAAUUGAAGCCUGGAGUCGUUAGCUCACCCACAGAUUCACUCUAUACGGUAUAAUUUUAGAGCCAAGGAAAAUCUAUUACUAUUCAGAUAUUUGUAGACUGUAUCUUAACAGUUCAUAUUUCCGCUUAACAACUGAGCGAACUGCAUUUGCUGUGACUGAAAAUGUGGCUGACUUCCCUGUAAGUGGGAAACAUUAUGAUGGUAUUUUAGAGGUGUUGAAGGCUGAUGCUGUGGAAGCUUUAUUAUUUCUGUUGCUGCUAAAUAACACAUUUCAGUGAAUGCUCUUGGAGAUCUGGUAUUUUAUUCUAAAAGUAUGUAUCCACUGGACCUCAUCCCAAAGUCUAAAGUAAAUUUUAAUCUGCUGGAGUUCUGUCAUUAGAGGUAUUUAUAAGCAUCAUCCAACAUGCUACAAACAUCUUACAGAUGGAAAAGGAAAGGUUUUUCAGGAAGUAGAAAAUCAGCACAUCGAUAGCAUGCUUCAUGCUCACCAACAUAGCUGUUCAUAUGCGCUUUUCAUUCAUUCUCAUAUAGCUCAGUUAUCUAUAAUAUGUAACAAUUUAAGGAAAUUCUUACAGUGGACCUAUAAUUAAUACGCUGUAAGUGGUGUCAUGAUCACAUUUUGAGAAAAGUAAGGGUCAUAUAGGCAAGAAGGGUGCAGAAGAGCAGCAUUGUGAGGGGCUUUGUGAGGGGCUUUAUUGUUCAAAUGUUAAAGUAAUUUAAUAAAGCAUUAUGAAAUUGUUGGACAAAAUAUCCAUACAUUUAAAA
This is a long non-coding RNA of Labrus mixtus (cuckoo wrasse), 1650 nucleotides long. RefSeq lists it as uncharacterized. The transcript has 5 exons. The record is from RefSeq and is a predicted model, not a curated record. Lineage: Eukaryota; Metazoa; Chordata; Actinopteri; Labriformes; Labridae.